RNAcentral lists this ribosomal RNA (440 nucleotides) under uncultured bacterium. RNAcentral describes it as "partial 16S ribosomal RNA". It matches the Rfam family "Bacterial small subunit ribosomal RNA", at positions 338 to 795 of the family's 1533-position model. The record is from RNAcentral.
CCUACGGGGUGCAGCAGUAGGGAAUAUUGCUCAAUGGGGGAAACCCUGAAGCAGCAACGCCGCGUGGAGGAUGAAGGUUUUCGGAUUGUAAACUCCUUUUGUUAGAGAAGAUAAUGACGGUAUCUAACGAAUAAGCACCGGCUAACUCCGUGCCAGCAGCCGCGGUAAUACGGAGGGUGCAAGCGUUACUCGGAAUCACUGGGCGUAAAGCGCUCGUAGGCGGGAUAGCAAGUCAGAUGUGAAAUCCUAUGGCUUAACCAUAGAACUGCAUUUGAAACUGUUAUUCUAGAGUAUGGGAGAGGUAGGUGGAAUGCUUGGUGUAGGGGUAAAAUCCGUAGAGAUCAAGAGGAAUACUCAUUGCGAAGGCGACCUGCUAGAACAUAACUGACGCUGAUGCGCGAAAGCGUGGGGAGCAAACAGGAUUAGAUACCCGUGUAGUC